This is a long non-coding RNA of Gigantopelta aegis, 295 nucleotides long. RefSeq lists it as uncharacterized. The record is from RefSeq and is a predicted model, not a curated record. NCBI's taxonomy places the organism in Eukaryota, Metazoa, Mollusca, Gastropoda, Neomphalida, Peltospiridae. The transcript has 3 exons.
GAUUUACUCUACAUCUAAUGUAGCGAGGUGUUCCGAUUAAUAAUAAUAACUAUAUUUAAUGAUUUACUCCAGCGACAAACUGGCCGUGUAGAAAUUUAGUGACCUUCUGAUAAACUAGGGGAGGGAAUGUUUACCAAUACUGAUGGAGUUUACUGCCAAAUCAAAUGAUUAAAUAUGUCAGUAAGAUCUCGAUGCGUUUCGUUAUUUUUUGUAAGUGGUCACUGGGAACUUCGCGGGUUUCCGCUAAAAACAAUGUCAGAAUGACCAUGUGUUUGACGUCCAAUAGCCGAUGAUA